AUGAAGACCGAAUCCCCGCGUUAUCUCCAUAACCCUCUUCUCACCCUCCUCUUCCUCGCAGCAGCAGUAGCAGCAGCCGUCCAGAUCGCCAUGGCGGCCGAGCCGGAGCAGGCGCCCGCGGCGCAGGAGGCGGCCGUGCACAUCGUCUACAUGGACUGCCCCGAGGACGCCGACCCCGAGGAGUUCCACAUCCACACCCUCGCCCCCGUCCUCGGCAGGUACUGUACCGUGCCGUGGAAUCGAACCGGAUCCACGGCCGAUUGGCUCGGCUUUGCGCCGUCCCUGGCGCCUGCCUGUGGGAUCUAG
RNAcentral lists this ribosomal RNA (306 nucleotides) under Triticum aestivum (bread wheat). RNAcentral describes it as "partial small subunit ribosomal RNA". The record is from RNAcentral. Lineage: Eukaryota; Viridiplantae; Streptophyta; Magnoliopsida; Poales; Poaceae.